UUGAACGCUGGCGGCAUGCUUUACACAUGCAAGUCGGACGGCAGCACAGAGAAGCUUGCUUCUUGGGUGGCGAGUGGCGAACGGGUGAGUAAUAUAUCGGAACGUACCGAGUAAUGGGGGAUAACUAAUCGAAAGAUUAGCUAAUACCGCAUAUUCUCUGAGGAGGAAAGCAGGGGACCUUCGGGCCUUGCGUUAUUCGAGCGGCCGAUAUCUGAUUAGCUAGUUGGUGGGGUAAAGGCCUACCAAGGCGACGAUCAGUAGCGGGUCUGAGAGGAUGAUCCGCCACACUGGGACUGAGACACGGCCCAGACUCCUACGGGAGGCAGCAGUGGGGAAUUUUGGACAAAGGGCGCAAGCCUGAUCCAGCCAUGCCGCGUGUCUGAAGAAGGCCUUCGGGUUGUAAAGGACUUUUGUCAGGGAAGAAAAGGCUGUUGCUAAUACCGACAGCUGAUGACGGUACCUGAAGAAUAAGCACCGGCUAACUACGUG
Molecule: ribosomal RNA, 489 nt
Filed under: uncultured bacterium
Lineage: Bacteria
Description: partial 16S ribosomal RNA
Rfam family: Bacterial small subunit ribosomal RNA
Source: RNAcentral